Molecule: long non-coding RNA, 1196 nt
Filed under: Chrysemys picta bellii (western painted turtle)
Lineage: Eukaryota; Metazoa; Chordata; Testudines; Emydidae
Description: lncRNA (ENSCPBG00000008243.1)
Source: RNAcentral
GUUAUUUCAGUGGUCAAACACAAGUCCAGCCCAAAGAUGCACAUCUCCUUCUUGACCAAAAUUCUAGUGGUCAAACACAAGUCCAUCCCAAAGAUACACACGUCCUUCUUGAUCAAAAUCUAAAAAAGGUGUUGACUCUUACUGCUCCUUAUUUUUGUACACCUGCUGGCUGCCCAUCGCAGAAAGAUGGUAGAUCCUCUGACAUGGAGGUUCUGGCUCCCCCCGAGGAGAGUGACUCUGUUUGUUGGUCUUUACCAGACAUUGCUGCUGCUGCAAGCACAACUGACAAGGAUAGAAUUACUCUUUCUGGCUAUUAUUCAAGCAGUCGAACAUCAGUCCAACUCAAAGUCCAAAAUCUUUUUCCUGAUCAAAUUCUUAAAAAAGAUAUUAUUAUAGCUCCAACUCCUAGUGGUCCCUCCAACUUCCCAUUACACAAACGUCGUAAAUCCUUUCGCAUGCAGCUUCUUGGUUUACCGAAGGAUGAGCCUGCUUAUUUUACUUUACCAGAGUUUACCUUUGGGAGCUUAGCUGCAGUGUCCUCUUCUCACCCAUCACCUGUGAUGUCAGCCUUUAGAAAGCCAGUUGUUUCUCGCUGUAACUAUCAAAAACUCAGUGCCCAGUUGACCAAUAAAGUGAGAAAGAGCAUACAGACUGAAGUUAACACAACGGUAUUGUCCAAUAAUGAGGAGUUCCCAGUAAUUUCACGAAGAAAGCCUGAGAGACAGAGUAUCAUAGAAAUGGCUUUGGAGGAGAAAAUGAGAAAAUCUAACUCAUUUGAACAGAUUUUAGAAGAAGGUGAUGAAGGAAAAGGAUCUUUUAUGGACAAUAUAAAGCUGUACCCUCAUGGACAGAGCAAAAAAGUCUCUUAUUCAGAACCUGAUCGUACCCUUGAUGAUGAUACUAUAAAGGGUAUCCAGGGAUUCGGGUACCAGAAUUUGUUAAGUGAGCAGGAUGAACAAGAACAACUGAUGGCCAGGGCCAGAAUGGCAGUUUUAUAUUGCAUAAUGCAUAGCAGAACUGAACUUAAUCUUAAGGCCUAUUUCCUGACUCUCCUUCCAGACCUUACACCUUUAGUCGACACUUUGGUGUAUCUUAACCUGUCAUUCAAUGACUUACACUUCUUUCCCAGGGAGGUAUGUACCAGUUAUUUACUUAUUGUUAUUAAGAGUAAAACUGUAAGACAGCCUGAAUUUUUA